This 483-nucleotide ribosomal RNA is filed under the name uncultured bacterium. Its description in RNAcentral is "partial 16S ribosomal RNA". It matches the Rfam family "Bacterial small subunit ribosomal RNA", at positions 28 to 506 of the family's 1533-position model. The record is from RNAcentral.
AUUGAACGCUGGCGGCAUGCUUUACACAUGCAAGUCGAACGGCAGCGCGGGCUUCGGCCUGGCGGCGAGUGGCGAACGGGUGAGUAAUGCAUCGGAACGUGCCCAGUAGUGGGGGAUAGCCCGGCGAAAGCCGGAUUAAUACCGCAUACGACCUGAGGGUGAAAGCGGGGGACCGAAAGGCCUCGCGCUAUUGGAGCGGCCGAUGUCGGAUUAGCUAGUUGGUGGGGUAAAGGCUUACCAAGGCGACGAUCCGUAGCUGGUCUGAGAGGACGACCAGCCACACUGGGACUGAGACACGGCCCAGACUCCGACGGGAGGCAGCAGUGGGGAAUUUUGGACAAUGGGGGCAACCCUGAUCCAGCCAUGCCGCGUGCGGGUAGAAGGCCUUCGGGUUGUAAACCGCUUUUGUUCGGGAAGAAAUCCUCUGGGCUAAUACCCCGGGGGGAUGACGGUACCGGAAGAAUAAGCACCGGCUAACUACGU